AACGAACGCUGGCGGCAUACCUAACACAUGCGAGUCGAACGAGACCUUCGGGUCUAGUGGCGCACGGGUGCGUAACGCGUGGGAACCUGCCCUUAGGUUCGGAAUAACUCCCCGAAAGGGGUGCUAAUACCGGAUAAUGUCUUCGGACCAAAGAUUUAUCGCCUUUGGAUGGGCCCGCGUUGGAUUAGCUAGUUGGUAGGGUAAAAGCCUACCAAGGCGACGAUCCAUAGCUGGUCUGAGAGGAUGAUCAGCCACACUGGGACUGAGACACGGCCCAGACUCCUACGGGAGGCAGCAGUGGGGAAUAUUGGACAAUGGGCGAAAGCCUGAUCCAGCAAUGCCGCGUGAGUGAUGAAGGCCUUAGGGUUGUAAAGCUCUUUUACCCGGGAUGAUAAUGACAGUACCGGGAGAAUAAGCUCCGGCUAACUCCGUG
This 433-nucleotide ribosomal RNA is filed under the name uncultured bacterium. RNAcentral's name for it is "partial 16S ribosomal RNA". It matches the Rfam family "Bacterial small subunit ribosomal RNA", at positions 29 to 507 of the family's 1533-position model. The record is from RNAcentral.